ACUUGUUCUUUAAAUAAGGACUAGUAUGAAUGGCACCACGAAGGUUACACUGUCUCCUUUUUCUAAUCAGUGAAACUAAUCUCCCCGUGAAGAAGCGGGGAUAAACAUAUAAGACGAGAAGACCCUAUGGAGCUUUAAACCAUGCGACACUUGCACCAAUUUUGCACAAAUUUCAGAAAAAUCUACUCUACUUAUGCAAGAUGAUCGCCAGUUUUAGGUUGGGGUGACCGCGGAGCAAAAAACAACCUCCACAUUGAAAGGAACUUACUCCUCAGCUAAGAGCCACACCUCCAUGCACCAAUACAAUGACAUUAAUUGACCCAAUAAUUUGAUCAACGAACCAAGUUACCCUAGGGAUAACAGCGCAAUCCACUUCAAGAGCCCCUAUCGACAAGUGGGUUUACG
RNAcentral lists this ribosomal RNA (405 nucleotides) under Vitreorana uranoscopa (Humboldt's glass frog). RNAcentral's name for it is "partial 16S ribosomal RNA". It matches the Rfam family "Bacterial large subunit ribosomal RNA", at positions 1967 to 2522 of the family's 2925-position model. The record is from RNAcentral. Lineage: Eukaryota; Metazoa; Chordata; Amphibia; Anura; Centrolenidae.